RNAcentral lists this ribosomal RNA (245 nucleotides) under uncultured bacterium. RNAcentral's name for it is "partial 16S ribosomal RNA". It matches the Rfam family "Bacterial small subunit ribosomal RNA", at positions 524 to 768 of the family's 1533-position model. The record is from RNAcentral.
AACGUAGGAGGCGAGCGUUAUCCGGAUUUACUGGGCGUAAAGCGCGCGCAGGCGGCUUGGUAAGUUGGACGUGAAAGCUCCUGGCUUAACUGGGAGAGGCCGUUCGAAACUACCAGGCUUGAGGUUGGGAGAGGGGUGCGGAAUUCCCGGUGUAGUGGUGGAAUGCGUAGAUAUCGGGAGGAACACCAGUGGCGAAGGCGGCACCCUGGCCCACACCUGACGCUGAGGUGCGAAAGCGUGGGGAG